RNAcentral lists this non-coding RNA (108 nucleotides) under unclassified sequences. Its description in RNAcentral is "Methylobacterium-1 RNA". It matches the Rfam family "Methylobacterium-1 RNA". The record is from RNAcentral. RNAcentral also lists the same sequence under 1 other name.
AAAGUUGGACUGGGAGACAAAAUAUUCCCAACAGGACGAGGGAACGUCACAAUUACCCUCGAGCGUUAAGGACUGUGAUUGUAUCUGCACCUUAUCGUUACCGUAGUU